CAGUGGCUGAGCAUUGCCUCCAAGGGAAGGGAAAUGGCUUCCUUCCGCUGCAUAGGAUCAUCUGAGAGCUGCGGAGCUCAGGUUACUGGAUCACUCCGGAGGCCAGCACCGGAAAGCAGAGCUAGAUCAAUUAAGGCGCCGGUUUGAGCAGUGCAAGCUGGACUCAGAGGACUUGGAGACAGUGAGAAUUUUUUUGUCUGUAAAUCUCUGAAGCUCUUGGGAACUUUUAGACGCCAACAUAUUAUGAGGUGAAAAUCCUGUGGACAUUUGGGCUGCACUGAGAAACGGCUGGCGUGAAAUCAGCAGCCACCUCUGGUUUGAAUUCCUACAGUGAUGAUCUGCUUCAACCAUAGUCCUAAAGCUACACAGUCUUGAAACUAUGUGGCAUAUGGAGCUGCUUCAGACUGUCCACAGCAGCUGAAUAUAAUUUGCCUCAUGCUCUAGCAGAGUGGUAGAGGAUUGAAAGGACAGAGAAGGGUAGAAGAAGAAGAGAAGAAGAAGAAGAAAGAACCCACAAAGUAGCAAGUACCCGCUACAGAAAUGGCUUUUUGUCCUAUUAAUACUGUAGUUAGUCUUUCGUAAAUUACAGCUUGUGGGUCUUUGGCGAUCCACAAGAAAUAGUAAAAGUUAUGUGAAUCUCUCUAUAUCCAAUUGCAUAUUUAUAUGAAGCUAAAUCCUGUUUUACACUUCAACAACAAAAACAUAUAACAACAGAUCCAUGAAAAAGCAGGUUAGAGAAUCCAGCUGCCUUCUAUCAGGUCAGACAUUGAAAGGGAUGUACAAAACUGUAAAACAAUAGCUUUUUGUUUUGGAAAAUGUAGUUAUUUGUCAUAAGAUGUAAUUUAUGUUAAUAGGUAAUCAGAUUCUUUUGUUAUAAAAUAAGUUUCUAAUUCAACAUUUUUUUCAAAUUCUUAGUUUUAGUUUCAAACAGGGAUAAUAUUAGUUCUAAUGCAUAUAAAUAAAAUCUUACUGGGGUCAUCAAUAAUUUUGAAAAUGUAAGGCAAUCCAGAGGAAAAACCCUGAGAAUUGCUGUUCUGCUAUACAUAAUUUUAGUUUUUUGUUAAGAUAUAAUUCACACACUACAAAAUGUGGAUAGAGUAUAAAAUUCAAUAAUUUUGAGUUCAUAAGAUUGUAACAUCAUCACCUGUGUUCAAUUCCAGAAACAUUUUCAUCACCUCAUAAAGAAACCCUAUGCUCGUUAAAAAACAUUCUAUAUACACCUCCUCCAUCUGGCAGACACAAAUUUCCUUCCAAUAAAUAGUUUCAAACAAUAUGUGUGCUUUUUACAUUUAACAGAAUUUUUACAGGUUCAUCCACAUUGUAGCAUUCCUUCUCAUACUGAAUAAUACUCUAUUAUAUUAAUGUACUAUAUUGUCUAAAUCUAGGUAGUUUUGAUUUGCAUUUUCUGCUGACUAAUGAUGUUUAGUGUCUAUUUGAAUAUUUUCUGUGGAAAAUGUUCAGAGUCUUUGCCUAUUUUAUUCUUCAACUUUUUUAAUUUAAGUUUUUGUGUGUGUGUAUUUGGUGUUUUUCAGGCAUCUAUCUGUGGACCAGGUGUGUGCAGUGCCCAGAGGGUGGUGCAUCCUAUGAGAUUGGAGAUGCUGAUGGUCGUAGCAAGUCAUGGAUGUUGGGAAUCAAACCCAAUGUGCUCUUAACCAUGGAGUCAUAGCUCUAGCUCCUUUUUGCCCGUUUAAUCUGGGUUAUAUUUUCAUUAUUGAGUUCAUUGUAUAAGAUUUAGAAAUAUUUUGUGGCAUUCUCUGUUGUUUCUUCAUUUUCUUGAAAGUAUCCUUUCAGAAAGUUCUUAAUUUUGGUGAACUUUCUUUUUUACCUAUGUUAUCUCAUUGUCUGUGCUUUUGUUGUCAUAUAAUAAUAACUGUCCCCUAAUACAAGGUCAUAAAGUUUAUUCAGUCUUCUAAGAGUUUAAUAAUUUUAGCUAUUAGAAUCCUGGUUUUGAUCCAUUUUGAAUUAUUAUUAUGAUUAUUUUUAUAGAACUAGAGAAAGUGGUUCCAGUUUAUUCUUUCACAUGAGAAUACGCAAUGCAAUACUGUUACCGAGAACUGUUCCUCAAUGAAUUGCCAUGGUAGCCUCAUCGCCUUGUCAAAAAUCACUAUCCUUAAAUAUAAGGAUUUAUUUAGAAUUUUAGUUCUGUGCCGUUGAUCAGUCUGUCUGUCUGUCCUACAUCAUUCCAAGUACUAUGGCUAUGAGGUUGAGAUUGUGUUAGUAUAAGUCCUCUGUUUUUUCUUACUUCAAAACUGUUUUGGCUUCUCUGGGUUCUUUAAGGUUCUGUGGGGCUUUAGAGCCUUUUUAUUUUUAUUUUUUUAGUUUUAACCAAGGGGCUAAGUAGGAUUACAGAAAUUGUACUGACUCAGCAGAUCAACUUAGAGAUAUUUUCAUCUUAACACUAUCCAAUCUCCUCCUAUUCAUGAACAAACAGAGCAUUUAAUAAAUUAUUUAUUAAGUUCUUUAUCUGAGCAUUGUUUAAUAGAUUUUGGUGGACAAAUACUGAAUGGCCUCCUUCUUUCUCCCUUAUCUGUCUUCAUUUGUUAUGAUUCUAGGGAUCAAAAACUGUAUUUCAUGCACAAUAAAUAUGGUCCUACCACUGGA
Mus musculus (house mouse) is the source of this 2601-nucleotide long non-coding RNA. RefSeq annotates it as predicted gene, 41537. The transcript is spliced from 4 exons. The record is from RefSeq and is a predicted model, not a curated record. NCBI's taxonomy places the organism in Eukaryota, Metazoa, Chordata, Mammalia, Rodentia, Muridae.